UAAUGUCUUAUUUCCACUCUCUGUCACUGUGUCUUUCUCGAUUCUCAGAGAAAAAAAAGAGGGUUCGUAUUUUACUAUUUUCUCCUCACUGAGCUGCCUCUCGUUUCCGUACUGAACAAAGGCGAACCCGUACAGAAGGCGAGCCUCAUCGGUGCUACAUCAAGCGGCCUGAGCUCAGCCUCAGGCUUAGGGACACCGCUAACUAAUACUUACCGUUAGUCCAUGUAGAAUUUCUGAGCAGGGGUCGCUGGUAUCGCUCUCAGUUUGGGACUCUUGCUUCCGGCCCCUGUACGUUGAGCUCAUGUGGUGCGGCUGACUGUAGAUCUACCAGCUCCGGUAGUCGUUCGUCAAUUCCUGGGUCUCGCCUGUCUGUCUUGCUUGUGAGCUGACCAUCGGGAACGCCGUGCCAAUCGAAAAACAGUAGCCCCUACGUUCUGAGUUCUGAGUUCUGAGUUGGGCCUCUCCGCAUCAAAUAAAUAAUAGAACAAGGUCGGUUUCAUUUCAGACUCGGAUAGAAGACAUCUCCAUGGCCAGAUACCGGUACUACUGCAGAAAGAGGAGGCUGAACAGUGGAUACUUUACAGUCAAUGUGCACUGCACUUCAGCGAACAGUGUCAGGGUGGCAGCGACCUGAUCAAGAUGUAUCCCUGUGUGUCGUCAACCACGACCGCUGUGCUGCAUUCUCCUAUCGCCAGAUUGCUGCGGAUAUGAUGGAAGCAUGCGCGUGACCAUAUCGCAGCUAAUGCUAGCUUGGUGUUAGCCAACACAGGAACAAACUGUAUGUCGAAGGGUGUGCCAUUCAUCUCUCAAAGGAUGAUGUCGAAAGUCUAGACUAGAAGACGCCACUUCGAUCAGCUUGUCAUCCUUCUCCAAUCUGAUUGAGAAGUGCCAGUUGUGAUGCUGCAACAUUUCAACCUGGGAUUCAGGCCGCUCCCCACCUGGGAUUCAGGAAGUUCCCCACCUGGGGUUCAGGCUGCUCGCGACCUAUUGUGUCAGGACAAGAGACAACACACAGACAACAAUGGCCGACACGCAUUGCGCGAAAUCACGCGACACC
Molecule: long non-coding RNA, 1057 nt
Organism: Sycon ciliatum
Lineage: Eukaryota; Metazoa; Porifera; Calcarea; Leucosolenida; Sycettidae
Exons: 4
Source: RefSeq, a predicted model, not a curated record